GUCACUGCUUCUCGCUCUGGGAAAAUGGCGGCGACGGCGGCGGCGGCGGCGGCGGCGGCGGCAGCGGC
RNAcentral lists this microRNA precursor (68 nucleotides) under Microtus ochrogaster (prairie vole). RNAcentral describes it as "miRNA (ENSMOCG00000008045.1)". Lineage: Eukaryota; Metazoa; Chordata; Mammalia; Rodentia; Cricetidae. The record is from RNAcentral.